UGUCGUAGCAUUUUGUGACGUGAAAGGGUCGACGUAUCAAGGUAAUAUAUCGAAAACUCUUUUACAUUCACAAUUAGUUCUUUAUCAAUUACAUCUAUACUAAACUUUAUUUUGUGUGUUGUGAGGAUAUCUACCACUCAUAUUAGUGGUGUGUUGAUCAACCCGACAUUUCAAAAAGCAAACGUGCUGCAAAAUUGGCAUGAUUAUUUGAAAGCGCAAUUGCUGAAGAGAUGCAUGAAGUUGGAACUAUUGCUGCAAUUGAAAUCGAGGAAGACGCAAUAGAGGUGCAGAAAAAACACACGAAGAAAACAAGGGAUUGUGGAGACAAAGAAGACCCUCAUUCAAUAAUUUAUAAGAAAAUCAAAAUAGAAAAGGAUUAGGGAUUUAUUGUUUUUUGUCAUUCCGUAGACAUUCAUUAUCUUUUUUAUGAGUAGAUUUCCCGUAGUCUUUAUUUAAUUCUCUUAUGAUAUUGCAGUAUACUUUCGUUAGUCUAUAAUAUGAGUACUAUUUAAGGUUCUUUGAGAAUUAUAUUUAGUAAUUUGGUCAAUUUAGGAUAUCUAUUUUACACAUAUAUUGGCAGCAAU
Molecule: long non-coding RNA, 584 nt
Organism: Lycium ferocissimum
Lineage: Eukaryota; Viridiplantae; Streptophyta; Magnoliopsida; Solanales; Solanaceae
Exons: 3
Source: RefSeq, a predicted model, not a curated record